UACGGAGGAUGCAAGCGUUAUCCGGAUUUAUUGGGUUUAAAGGGUGCGCAGGUUGUUUGAUAAGUCAGUGGUGAAAGUCUGUCGCUUAACGGUAGGAUUGCCAUUGAUACUGUUGGACUUGAAUAUGGAUGAGGUAGGCGGAAUGUGUAGUGUAGCGGUGAAAUGCAUAGAUAUUAUACAGAACACCGAUUGCGAAGGCAGCUUACUAAUCCAUCAUUGACGCUGAGGCACGAAAGCGUGGGGAUCAAACA
RNAcentral lists this ribosomal RNA (251 nucleotides) under uncultured prokaryote. Its description in RNAcentral is "partial 16S ribosomal RNA". It matches the Rfam family "Bacterial small subunit ribosomal RNA", at positions 524 to 774 of the family's 1533-position model. The record is from RNAcentral.